This 1048-nucleotide long non-coding RNA is filed under the name Homo sapiens (human). Its description in RNAcentral is "HSALNT0378474". The record is from RNAcentral. Lineage: Eukaryota; Metazoa; Chordata; Mammalia; Primates; Hominidae.
GCUGAAAUAACAGAAUGUAAAUCCAAAUUCUUCUAGCAUGAAACUCAUGACACUUUUAAGUCCUCAUUUCUCUCCUUCUGCUUAAACUGAGCUCUACUAGGAAAAGCCCCUGGGGAACAUCGGUUCCUGACUUAUUUGGCUUAGUUUGAAAACUGCCAGAUGCCACCCAGGAUACUGCAUUAGGAUCCUGCCAUAAAACUUCACUUUGUGCUGACUCAAUUUCAAAUGAGCCAUGAAGUAUUACAUUCUUGAGAAGUGGAAGAACUUUCACUGGCUUUUCGGCAGCACAUCAGCUGAAGUCAUAGAAGAAACAGCAAAAUAGGUCAUAAUGGAUUCGGGGCUGUGUUUAUAACCUGGACAACAACUGUCACUUUGUGUUUGGGGAAUUGUUCCAGAAUACGAAAACUGAAUGUUAAGGUGUUGAACUGUGAGAGGUUGUCAUAUGAAUAGGCAAGUGAUUUUCUGACCAGAGCACAAAGAAGCUGUGACCAACUAAGACAGCCCUCGUGCCUCACCACGAAUAGAGUUGUUUAAUUGGUGACUGGAUGUUCAAUUAAUAAUGUCCCUCAUCUCCAAAGAUGUCCGUGUCCUAUCUCCUAAUCACAAGAACCUAUGAAUACGUUGCUUUACAUGGCAAAGGGACUUUGAGGAUGUCAUUAGAGGUCCUGAGAUUAGUGACUUCAACAUGAAUUUUGGGGAACAUGUUCAGCACAUAACAUAGAUGAAAGAAGAGUGUCAUGAGCCAAGGAAUGUAGGUGGCCCGAAGAAGCUGGAGAAGGCAAGGAAAUGGAUUUUUCCCUAGAGCCUCCAGAAGGGAAAGCAGCUCUGAUGAUGCCUUAGUUUUAACCCAGUGAAAACCAUGUCAAAUUUCUAACCUACAGAACUAUUAGAAAAUCAAUUUAUGUUGUUUUAAGCCACUAAAUUUGAGAUUUUUUUGUCAUGUUAGUAACAGAAAGCUAAUGGAAUGUCAAAACUUAAGGACCAAAUAAAUACAUCUUGAGACCCUACUCUGUAUCCAUCUAUUAUUAUGGGCAGUAAUCUACCUCAA